UUUAUGGAGAGUUUGAUCCUGGCUCAGGAUGAACGCUGGCGGCGUGCCUAAUACAUGCAAGUCGAGCGAACAGAUAAGGAGCUUGCUCCUUUGACGUUAGCGGCGGACGGGUGAGUAACACGUGGGUAACCUACCUAUAAGACUGGAAUAACUCCGGGAAACCGGGGCUAAUGCCGGAUAACAUGUUGAACCGCAUGGUUCUACAGUGAAAGACGGUCUUGCUGUCACUUAUAGAUGGACCCGCGCCGUAUUAGCUAGUUGGUGGGGUAACGGCCUACCAAGGCGACGAUACGUAGCCGACCUGAGAGGGUGAUCGGCCACACUGGAACUGAGACACGGUCCAGACUCCUACGGGAGGCAGCAGUAGGGAAUCUUCCGCAAUGGGCGAAAGCCUGACGGAGCAACGCCGCGUGAGUGAUGAAGGUCUUCGGAUCGUAAAGCUCUGUUGUUAGGGAAGAACAAAUGUGUAAGUAACUGUGCACAUCUUGACGGUACCUAACCAGAAAGCCACGGCUAACUACGUGCCAGCAGCCGCGGUAAUACGUAGGUGGCAAGCGUUAUCCGGAAUUAUUGGGCGUAAAGCGCGCGUAGGCGGUUUUUUAAGUCUGAUGUGAAAGCCCACGGCUCAACCGUGGAGGGUCAUUGGAAACUGGAAAACUUGAGUGCAGAAGAGGAAAGUGGAAUUCCAUGUGUAGCGGUGAAAUGCGCAGAGAUAUGGAGGAACACCAGUGGCGAAGGCGGCUUUCUGGUCUGCAACUGACGCUGAUGUGCGAAAGCGUGGGGAUCAAACAGGAUU
RNAcentral lists this ribosomal RNA (796 nucleotides) under Staphylococcus pseudintermedius. RNAcentral's name for it is "bacterial SSU rRNA". It matches the Rfam family "Bacterial small subunit ribosomal RNA", at positions 1 to 779 of the family's 1533-position model. Lineage: Bacteria; Bacillati; Bacillota; Bacilli; Caryophanales; Staphylococcaceae. The record is from RNAcentral.